GAUGAACGCUGGCGGCGUGCCUAAUACAUGCAAGUCGAGCGAACGGACGAGAAGCUUGCUUCUCUGAUGUUAGCGGCGGACGGGUGAGUAACACGUGGAUAACCUACCUAUAAGACUGGGAUAACUUCGGGAAACCGGAGUUAAUACCGGAUAAUAUUUUGAACCGCAUGGUUCAAAAGUGAAAGACGGUCUUGCUGUCACUUAUAGAUGGAUCCGCGCUGCAUUAGCUAGUUGGUAAGGUAACGGCUUACCAAGGCAACGAUGCAUAGCCGACCUGAGAGGGUGGUCGGCCACACUGGAACUGAGACACGGUCCAGACUCCUACGGGAGGCAGCAGUAGGGAAUCUUCCGCAAUGGGCGAAAGCCUGACGGAGCAACGCCGCGUGAGUGAUGAAGGUCUUCGGAUCGUAAAACUCUGUUAUUAGGGAAGAACAUAUGUGUAAGUAACUGUGCACAUCUUGACGGUACCUAAUCAGAAAGCCACGGCUAACUACGUG
Molecule: ribosomal RNA, 497 nt
Filed under: uncultured bacterium
Lineage: Bacteria
Description: partial 16S ribosomal RNA
Rfam family: Bacterial small subunit ribosomal RNA
Source: RNAcentral